RNAcentral lists this long non-coding RNA (1089 nucleotides) under Calidris pugnax (ruff). RNAcentral describes it as "lncRNA (ENSCPUG00000010937.1)". The record is from RNAcentral. Lineage: Eukaryota; Metazoa; Chordata; Aves; Charadriiformes; Scolopacidae.
GUCCUUACCCUCCCUGCUCUUCCCGCAAACAGCCCGCAUUGUCCGGACCGCAGCCCCGACCCGCAUCCAGGCACGGCCGUGCCUGCCAGACCCACACCCCCCCACCCCCCGGCAUCCCUCGGCCCACCGCCUCUCCCCGCAGCGUCGCAGGCGGCGCCGGGCCGGGCCGGGCCGGGCCGGGCCGUGGGGCCAGCGCUAGACCGACACCCCCUCACCCCCCUGCAUCCCUCGGCCCACCGUCUCCCCCACCGCCUCUCCCCGCAGCGUCGCAGGCGCCGCCGGGCCGGGCCGGGCCGUGGGGCCAGCGAUCCCCUCGCCCCGCCGCGGGCUGCCCGGGCGCAGGCUUCCCUCCCUACCCCGCUCCCCCCACGGCCCAGCCCGGCCGAAGCCAGCCGCGGCGGGCGCAGAGGGGCCGACGGCCACCAUCCCCCCCGCGGCAAGGCCCCGGCCCAGUCCCGGGGGUGGCGUAAGAUCCGAGGCUGCUCCCGCAGCGGGGGACCCCGGCUGCACCCUGCCCUGACCUGCCCCUUCCCCUUCCCCCCAACAACGCCGCGGAGGGACCGGCUCGGCGGCGAACUUCCCUACCCAGAAGCUCUCCACGAAGUACGCCAUCAUCGCGCCGGGUCACUCGGUGAGUCCGAGCCCGGCCCCGGCCGCCUCAGCCGCCGAAGGAAAGGGGCGCCUCCGCGGCGCGCCGCCCUUCCCGUUACGGUGCAACCGCCUCCCUCCGCACGGCUCCGCCACCGCCCCCCCUCCACCCCGCAUGCGCACCGCCGCCGCCGGCCGCCUCCGCCCCCGCGCAGGCGCCUGGCCUCCCCGCGCAGGCGCGGAGAGAGGGGUAGCCUCCCCUUCUCCCCCUCCCUUCCCGAUGGCGGCUGGGCCUCGGUGGCGGCCUGUUACCCGCACCCAGGCGGCCGGUGCUACCCCGCACCCGGGCGGGCGGGCGGAGAGCCGGGCGCGGUGCUUCUGCCCUCAGCAGGGCCGCGAUCCGGCAGCUCAGACCCAGGGCCGCCUGCUGAGGGGAGAAACUCCGUUCUGUGGGGGACACGAACAAUAAUGGCUGAGCGCAGGCUCGGAAACACGGAGUGA